Long non-coding RNA from Conger conger (European conger), 1575 nucleotides. RefSeq lists it as uncharacterized. The record is from RefSeq and is a predicted model, not a curated record. The transcript is spliced from 2 exons. NCBI's taxonomy places the organism in Eukaryota, Metazoa, Chordata, Actinopteri, Anguilliformes, Congridae.
UGUUGUACAAAAUGGAAAUGAGACUGAUAAGCCUCACUGAAACUUCUGGUGGUGCUGUAACACACAGAGACAGGCUGGGGCGCAUGCGGAGCAGUGAAUAGAGCAGUGUGGUGCCGUCAUGGUGAAAUAUGCUGGUGGAAUCCCCAGUGAGAUGGCCUCAGGGGCUCCCAGGCAAAGCUAAUGAAUGGAUCUUCUAUGACGCCACCAUCGGUUAAAGAGUCCCAGUGGUGAUCAUCGUGCCAGAACUCCAUAUCCCCCUUCGCGAGCUCACCUUUUCUUUCUGUCCCCGUGGUAAACUCACUCAACUCAACCACCUACAAAAUAUGAAUAGUAGUAAUAUAUUUUAUUUAUAUAGCACCUUUCUUAAAUCCAAGGAAGCGUUACAAAGUAGAGGAUAAAACGGCAAGAUUCAACAGAAAACUACAAUACUACAAGAAUCACCUGAACAGUCCGUCCAUAGUGAAACUGGUGCAAUUAUCAAUGAACAUCAAUUGGUAAGCCCAAUUUCUGAAAAGUGCACAAAUUCACCUCCACAUAAAUGUCUAUAUCGUGACAGUUUAAAUUCUGUUGCCUAUUCAUUGUGACUUGCCUUGGAUGAGUUUAAAUCAUUUAUUUAAAUUUUUUUGUCGCAAAAUGUCUAUGUUUAUGUCUAUGCUUUGUUUAAUGAAAUAAUUUCUGCAUAUUGCUUCAGUUGCUAAGCUUAUUUUAAUUUUUACCGGUUUAUCCAGCUUUUCUGUAGUAUAUCUUUUCUAUAUUCCGCUAUCCACCUCUCCUCUGGUUCCAUUGAUGUGAGUUCUGUCAGUUCAGGCCGAUUGUAGUCCACACUCAUGCAAUUUCUGGCUAUCUAUUUCUAGGGUGUGGCAUAACGUAUUCUAUGCAUUUGCCAGAUAUCCAUGUACCUGCCCAUUCCCAUUCAUAAAUAUCAUAAUUAAAAGCAUCAGAUAAAGGUCACUUGAGUACCUCUUUUACACGGACAUGUAAUCUAUAAUUUCAGAAUCCAGGGCAUACAGAUAGAAUGUCUUUGCUUAAACUUCCCCGAAUCUGAUCCUCGACAGGGUGCUUUCCAGGGUGAAGACUUACUUCAUCAUUGAUUUUACACAAGACUGCCACCUGCUGGCUGCAAGGAGAAGCUCUCUUCACCUCUUUCUUGGCAAGCAGGCAUAUAAUCAGUGACUACUUUAUUAGGCAUUAGAUUUUGAUUUAUUGGUCUGCUGCUGCCUAUCCACUUCAAGGUUCAACGGGUCAUGUGUUCAGAGAUGCUCUUCUGCAUACCACUAUUGUAACACGUGGUUAUUUGAGUUACUGUUGGCUACCCGUCAGCUUGAACCAGUCUGUUAAGGUACAUGACUGGGACCCGCAAGUUCGGUGGUUCGAUCCCCGGUGUAGCCACAAUAAGAUUCACACAGCUGUUGGGCCCUUAACCCUGUAUUGCUCCAGGGGACGAUUGUCUCCUGCUUAGUCUGAUCAACUGUAAGUCGAUUUGCAUAAAAGCAUCAGCCAAAUGACAUGUAAUGUAAUGUCUCCCAUUCUCCUCUGUCCUCUCUCAUUAUAAACAAGGCAUUUUUGCCAACAGAA